CAAAGAAUAGUUUAAAAAAAAUAAUAAUUUUGGAGAUUAUUGAUGAGAAUAUUUUUUUUCUUUGA
This 65-nucleotide transfer RNA is filed under the name Pontia daplidice. RNAcentral's name for it is "tRNA-Pro". Lineage: Eukaryota; Metazoa; Arthropoda; Insecta; Lepidoptera; Pieridae. The record is from RNAcentral.